Molecule: transfer RNA, 73 nt
Filed under: Deltaproteobacteria bacterium RIFCSPHIGHO2_02_FULL_50_15
Lineage: Bacteria; Deltaproteobacteria
Description: tRNA-Thr
Rfam family: tRNA
About the family: Transfer RNA (tRNA) molecules are approximately 80 nucleotides in length. Their secondary structure includes four short double-helical elements and three loops (D, anti-codon, and T loops).
Source: RNAcentral
GCCGAUGUAGCUCAGUAGGUAGAGCGACUGAUUUGUAAUCAGUAGGUCCCCGGUUCGAUUCCGGGCGUCGGCU